This is a long non-coding RNA of Mauremys mutica (yellowpond turtle), 1709 nucleotides long. RefSeq lists it as uncharacterized. Lineage: Eukaryota; Metazoa; Chordata; Testudines; Geoemydidae. The transcript has 9 exons. The record is from RefSeq and is a predicted model, not a curated record.
GACCAAAGUAAUGCACCAGGUCCGCAUCAUCUGGCACUUGCCCCAGGUGCCCGAGGCACUGCAGGGGCUGUGCCUCUGAGGCCACCAGAAACUUCCACCCGCUCCCUGCUGCAGGCCCUGGGAUCUGGCACAGCCUCCCAGACUGGCGCAGCCUGCAGAUGAGCCACCUCAGGGAGCAGUGGGGACACAUCACCUCGUCCCAUCAAAGCAAGCAAUGGUGGGUCUCAGAGAGGCUAGAUGGAAGACCCCACUCCCUCCUGGAGGAAGGGGCUCCCCAGAGAUGUCCUCGAACAUGGACUCCUAUGAACAUUUCCGCUGGGAGGCUCCAGCCCCUCGGGCAUGAAGAGAGCAUCAGGCUCUGAAGAUGGCCUGCCCAGAGCCAUGGAUGCCAUGCCGAAGAGCUUGCUGACAGCAAUCUCCAGCACAUCUUGGAGUUACCAAUCCAUGAGAGGAACUUAUGAUGUACCUGUCUGGCACAAUAAUUCUGCAUUGAAUCAGCUCUGUCCCAGCCUCUCACAGAGAUGUAUCCUGCAGUCAGCCCAGCUCAGGGAGCAGUGGGGACAAGUGAUCUCCUCCUGUCAGACCAAGCAACAUGGGUCUCAUUGAGGCUCAGAUGGAAGAUCCCAUGCAUCUCCUGGAGAGGAUGUGUCCAGGAUCCUGGAUAAUGUUUUCUGCAGGAGGUUUGAAUGGGGAGAGAUCACUCACUGUCAUGACCCAGAGGCCUUCAACCCAGGGCUGUAGAGUUCAUGGAAGCAGCUACACUCCAACCCUCCACCUGGAAGCCUGCUGAAAAUUGCUUACCUAGGACCCAUGAAGUUCAGCCCCAGUCUGAGGCUCCGCUCCUGAGGUUCUAGUGGAGGAGUCCCAGAGAAGCUUAUUGGCCCUCUGGCCCUGCUUAAGGCAGCAGCAGGAAAAGGAAGCUGACUGAACACCAGGGCUGCUCCCUGUUCUGGAUCGUGUGCUGCCUCUUUCUGCUGCUGCUCCCCUGGCUUGAUUCCCUGGCAUCUGAUUUGUGGGUUUGAUUGCAAGUUUCUCUUGUGCUUCUGAUCUUCCAGUAUCCUGACCCAGCUGAUUCUCAACUGACAUGCAUCCGAAGAAGUGGGUAUUCACCCACGAAAGCUCAUGCUCCAAAAUGUCUGUUAGUCUAUAAGGUGCCACAGGACUCUUUGCUGCUGUCAUGGCUCACCAUCCAUCUUGGAGCUGAACACCAGAUGGGAGCUGAUAGAUUGUUCUUGGUGGGCCAUGUUUUUGUGUGGGAGAGAGGGCCAGGAGAAGAUGCACCACACAUGACUAGGACCGGGAUAAACAAUCUGUAAUGAGAGUCAGCCAGUGAAGCCAGUUUGCAGAAUGUGGAAGAGCUGUUUGGCGAUGGGUUGGAGGAUUCACCAUGUAGGUGGCAGCAGCUGCAGUGCCUGGGGUCUCCAUGGGCCAAGGCUCCACUCCUGACACACCAGGCUAAUCUCCCACUGCUCUCAGGGGGCUUUGGCUUUAGCUGCUGGGCCUGCGUGCCUAGAGAGAAGACUCCGGUAUUUCCAUCAGGCUGCUCAAUGGCAAAUGUAGCCAUCCACAGAAGUGAAGAAGAAUGGAAGUGAAAGAGUAAAGCUGGACCAUCCGCUGCGCUGUUGCAAGCAAGUGAGCAGAGCUGGGGAGAGAAGAGGGAGAACACGAAGGUGGCUGGUGGCAGUAAGGAGGAAAAGCAGUUUGGGAGC